RNAcentral lists this ribosomal RNA (1039 nucleotides) under Actinacidiphila cocklensis. Its description in RNAcentral is "partial 23S ribosomal RNA". It matches the Rfam family "Bacterial large subunit ribosomal RNA", at positions 1894 to 2925 of the family's 2925-position model. Lineage: Bacteria; Bacillati; Actinomycetota; Actinomycetes; Kitasatosporales; Streptomycetaceae. The record is from RNAcentral.
CACUUCGGUGUGGCGAAGCUGAGAACUUAAGCGCCAGUAAACGGCGGUGGUAACUAUAACCAUCCUAAGGUAGCGAAAUUCCUUGUCGGGUAAGUUCCGACCUGCACGAAUGGCGUAACGACUUCUCGACUGUCUCAACCAUAGGCCCGGUGAAAUUGCACUACGAGUAAAGAUGCUCGUUUCGCGCAGCAGGACGGAAAGACCCCGGGACCUUUACUAUAGCUUGAUAUUGGUGUUCGGUUCGGCUUGUGUAGGAUAGGUGGGAGACUUUGAAACAUCGGCGCCAGCCGGUGGUGAGUCGUCGUUGAAAUACCACUCUGGUCGUGCUGGAUGUCUAACCUCGGUCCGUGAUCCGGAUCAGGGACAGUGUCUGGUGGGUAGUUUAACUGGGGCGGUUGCCUCCUAAAGGGUAACGGAGGCGCCCAAAGGUUCCCUCAGCCUGGUUGGCAAUCAGGUGUUGAGUGUAAGUGCACAAGGGAGCUUGACUGUGAGACUGACGGGUCGAGCAGGUACGAAAGUAGGGACUAGUGAUCCGGCGGUGGCUUGUGGAAGCGCCGUCGCUCAACGGAUAAAAGGUACCCCGGGGAUAACAGGCUGAUCUUCCCCAAGAGUCCAUAUCGACGGGAUGGUUUGGCACCUCGAUGUCGGCUCGUCGCAUCCUGGGGCUGGAGUCGGUCCCAAGGGUUGGGCUGUUCGCCCAUUAAAGCGGUACGCGAGCUGGGUUUAGAACGUCGUGAGACAGUUCGGUCCCUAUCCGCUGUGCGCGUAGGAGUCUUGAGAAGGGCUGUCCCUAGUACGAGAGGACCGGGACGGACGAACCUCUGGUGUGCCAGUUGUCCUGCCAAGGGCAUGGCUGGUUGGCUACGUUCGGGAGGGAUAACCGCUGAAAGCAUCUAAGCGGGAAGCCUGCUUCGAGAUGAGGGCUCCCACCCCCUUGAGGGGUUAAGGCUCCCAGUAGACGACUGGGUUGAUAGGCCGGAUGUGGAAGCCCUGUAAGGGGUGGAGCUGACCGGUACUAAUAGGCCGAGGGCUUGUCCUC